CGAAAAUUUCACGUCCAAACCUGCCUCACAAUUUAGUAAUCGGAUUGUAAGGCAACUGAAGUGAAGGCAAGUGAAGCAUACUCAAUGGCGUAUUAUUGACCUGUAAGAAGUAUUAUACGUUUCAUCUGGGCUUUUGUUAAUGCUUUUGUCUUUGGUGGUUUCACAGGCGAUCUUUAUUUAGACGUUCCAGCAUUUUGGAUCAUAGUGAAGGAAGUGGGCCAGUAGCCUUUGCUCACAAGAGAACAGGACUGUCUUCCGUACUUACCACAGGGAAUCAGGCUCAGUGUACAUCUUACUUCAUCGAACCUGUGCAGUGGAUGGAGUCUGCUUUGUUGGGGGUUAUGGAUGGACAGCUUCUUUGCCCAAAAUGCAGUGCCAAGUUGGGUU
This 387-nucleotide long non-coding RNA is filed under the name Rattus norvegicus (Norway rat). RNAcentral's name for it is "long non-coding RNA NONRATT008950". The record is from RNAcentral. Lineage: Eukaryota; Metazoa; Chordata; Mammalia; Rodentia; Muridae.